GUUUGAUCAUGGCUCAGAUUGAACGCUGGCGGCAGGCCUAACACAUGCAAGUCGAGCGGUAGCACAGAGAGCUUGCUCUCGGGUGACGAGCGGCGGACGGGUGAGUAAUGUCUGGGAAACUGCCUGAUGGAGGGGGAUAACUACUGGAAACGGUAGCUAAUACCGCAUAAUGUCGCAAGACCAAAGUGGGGGACCUUCGGGCCUCAUGCCAUCAGAUGUGCCCAGAUGGGAUUAGCUAGUAGGUGGGGUAACGGCUCACCUAGGCGACGAUCCCUAGCUGGUCUGAGAGGAUGACCAGCCACACUGGAACUGAGACACGGUCCAGACUCCUACGGGAGGCAGCAGUGGGGAAUAUUGCACAAUGGGCGCAAGCCUGAUGCAGCCAUGCCGCGUGUGUGAAGAAGGCCUUCGGGUUGUAAAGCACUUUCAGCGGGGAGGAAGGCGGUGAGGUUAAUAACCUCAUCGAUUGACGUUACCCGCAGAAGAAGCACCGGCUAACUCCGUGCCAGCAGCCGCGGUAAUACGGAGGGUGCAAGCGUUAAUCGGAAUUACUGGGCGUAAAGCGCACGCAGGCGGUCUGUCAAGUCGGAUGUGAAAUCCCCGGGCUUAACCUGGGAACUGCAUUCGAAACUGGCAGGCUAGAGUCUUGUAGAGGGGGGUAGAAUUCCAGGUGUAGCGGUGAAAUGCGUAGAGAUCUGGAGGAAUACCGGUGGCGAAGGCGGCCCCCUGGACAAAGACUGACGCUCAGGUGCGAAAGCGUGGGGAGCAAACAGGAUUAGAUACCCUGGUAGUCCACGCCGUAAACGAUGUCGAUUUGGAGGUUGUGCCCUUGAGGCGUGGCUUCCGGAGCUAACGCGUUAAAUCGACCGCCUGGGGAGUACGGCCGCAAGGUUAAAACUCAAAUGAAUUGACGGGGGCCCGCACAAGCGGUGGAGCAUGUGGUUUAAUUCGAUGCAACGCGAAGAACCUUACCUGGUCUUGACAUCCACAGAACUUUCCAGAGAUGGAUUGGUGCCUUCGGGAACUGUGAGACAGGUGCUGCAUGGCUGUCGUCAGCUCGUGUUGUGAAAUGUUGGGUUAAGUCCCGCAACGAGCGCAACCCUUAUCCUUUGUUGCCAGCGGUUAGGCCGGGAACUCAAAGGAGACUGCCAGUGAUAAACUGGAGGAAGGUGGGGAUGACGUCAAGUCAUCAUGGCCCUUACGACCAGGGCUACACACGUGCUACAAUGGCAUAUACAAAGAGAAGCGACCUCGCGAGAGCAAGCGGACCUCAUAAAGUAUGUCGUAGUCCGGAUUGGAGUCUGCAACUCGACUCCAUGAAGUCGGAAUCGCUAGUAAUCGUAGAUCAGAAUGCUACGGUGAAUACGUUCCCGGGCCUUGUACACACCGCCCGUCACACCAUGGGAGUGGGUUGCAAAAGAAGUAGGUAGCUUAACCUUCGGGAGGGCGCUUACCACUUUGUGAUUCAUGACUGGGGUGAAGUCGUAACAAGGUAACCGUAGGGGAACCUGCGGUUGGAUCACCUCCUU
This 1529-nucleotide ribosomal RNA is filed under the name Klebsiella pneumoniae. RNAcentral's name for it is "bacterial SSU rRNA". It matches the Rfam family "Bacterial small subunit ribosomal RNA". Lineage: Bacteria; Pseudomonadati; Pseudomonadota; Gammaproteobacteria; Enterobacterales; Enterobacteriaceae. The record is from RNAcentral.